Molecule: ribosomal RNA, 328 nt
Filed under: uncultured eukaryote
Lineage: Eukaryota
Description: partial 18S ribosomal RNA
Rfam family: Eukaryotic small subunit ribosomal RNA
Source: RNAcentral
CCCUUAGAUGUUCUGGGCCGCACGCGCGCUACACUGAUGCAUUCAACGAGUUUUUCCUGGUCCGAGAGGAAUGGGUAACCUUUUGAAAGUGCAUCGUGCUAGGGAUAGACUAUUGCAAUUAUUGGUCUUCAACGAGGAAUUCCUAGUAGACGUAGUUCAUCAGACUGCAUCGAUUACGUCCCUGCCCUUUGUACACACCGCCCGUCGCUACUACUGAUUGGACGUUUAAGCAAGAUUUUUAAACACUGACAGUGUGUAGUUCACGCUAUACUACAGUGAGAAGAAGAAGAUCGAGCUUACUUGUCUAGAGGAAGUAAAAGUCGUAACA